CGGCGGCCCGAGGGAACUUUGGCGUCCCGUUGUGAGGCCAAGCGAUGCCGCGGCCAAAAGCCGCCGCGUGCAGCCGGGAGGGCCGGGGUCGGCUGGGGAGCAGCUUCCCUAUGGAGGGAGCGCGGUUGGGCAGGGCGGUGAAACAAGCAAAAGCGGGGUACCCGCUGGUAGCAGGGAGAAGGCGUUUAACCCGGCCGCAGGCGCUCCCCGCCUCACGUUCCGUCCCCGGGUGCCUGGGUCCCGGCGGGGGCAGGAGCUGCCGCUGAGGAGAGGCCUCCGAGCGCCUGCUCCCGGGCUGUGAGGCGAGCGCGGCCACGGUGUGAGGAGAAUUCGCAUCUUCCCGGAGCUACAGGUUGCUCAAAGUGGGCUGAAAGUGUCUUAGGAAUUACUCGUACUACCAUUUUUAAUCAGUGACCGAGCAUUCAGGUGUGACCACCCAUACUUUGCAGCGUUUCCUUGUGUAGCUGCAAGUCUGCCCUCAUGUCCCUGUGCGCAAACUGGAGGCCGGUGGCUGCAGUAGUGCAACGUGGAGACCACAUUAAUAAGCUUGCUGUUCAGUAGCUGGUUGUCUCGUGCCUGGCACUAAUCAGAAGUGCACAGAGACGCGCACCUGCCUGCAGAGCUGGUAACAGCACAGCAUCCCCCCUUGGCUUCUGUGAGAUCUAGCACCUCUGAAAAACAAGCUAUUUAUUUAGACCUGAAUUUGCAUGGAGUGGCUUCUUCACGCACCGUUAAUCAAGAAUGUAUUCCUCCCAAGUUAUGUGCAAAACCAAUCUGCAUGGCAGCAUGGAUACAGAGUCAAACCGCAGGCCUGGUCCAGAAAUUAAAGAGUGAGCACAUAAGGGUGCACACAGCAAGAUGCUGCGCUUCAUUGGACAGUAUCUGGAAACUGGCAGCUAGAAUGACCUGCUAUUCAACCCUUGUUGAGAGGGAAUCUCACACAAAAAUCGAAACUUCCCCAGAAUCGGUUGCUGACCUAAAUGACAGUGGGAAUCUUCAGAGUAAAAUGAGAAGAAUGAGGAACAUUUUUUACAACACAAGAGUUACUCUUAAGAGGGUGACCCCAUGUUAAUUUCAACAAAUUCUAACUCACCAAAAGUCAGUGUUUUAUUGCAUGAGAAGCUCAAAAGUAUUGUUCCCAUGUGAGAAAUCCCACAGAUGCUUGCCUAACAUGGAAGACAACAUGUAUGCGAAAAAUCUAUUUGAAACACAGGAAAAUAUAUGCUGCUUUAGGGGUUUGUCAGAGAAUGGUCAUGACCUAAUUAAUUUUAACACCAUGGUCUGUGUUGCUGCUGGAGAAGCAGAGAAAUACUGCAUCAGACAGGGGCAUUCCCACCCUACAGAUCUAAUCACUGAUCACACAGACAAUUGUUGCCUUAAAGUGGAAGAUUCUGUUUCUGGUCCACCUCCAGCUGAAGUCCAGGCAUGUGAAAAGACUGGGUUCAGUAGACCUGUAACCAUGAAUACCCUGUUGAGUGAGCAGGCAGAUACUCCCAUAGCAAAUCAGAAUUAUUUUACAAAAUAUGAUUCUGCAAAUUCAGACAGCAUUUUGGAGGCUUAUCCAAGUGUAAGUGAUGACUUUUCUGAUGAUGUCCUAGAGUAUUUUGAAUGUUCAGAUGUGCUGACAGCACAUGAAAAUGAAAUCUGGGAAAAGAAAUUACAGUUUUUAUUAGAAAGUGGUGAUGAAGAUGAUUUAAAUCUGAGUAAGGAUUGUGAUGGGUGUGCUUACUUCCUCAGUGAAAUGCCGUGUCUGUUCCGAGUGUCAGAUAACACUAUGCCUAUGGAUACUACCAUUGGCUUCUGUGGUCAUCACUCAAAAUUCGAAGGAGUAAAUGUAAGGAGAGACCCCUCUACAUACAGCCAGUCAACUUUGCAGACGGAGAUGACUCUAACUGUUGGACAACACCGAGAUAAAACUACCAGUGUGAAAGACGAAGAGAAGGGUAAAGUGCCUGUCGCAUCUGCUGUCAUUGAAAAUGAGUGUCUCCGAACUGAAGAAGAAAAUAAUGGAUUUGGCCAGACAGAUUUCUCAACCAACAAACGUCAGAACACGGACAAUGUCCCUGCAAAGGCAGACUCCUCUACUGAUGGCAUAGAUACUGCUUUGACAGAUCAGGCUUCAGAGACAACAACAGAAAACAAGGUGGACGAGAACUUGCUGGGUGAAAGCUCAUUGCUGCUAGAGGAGGGGAGAAGAAAUUCAUCAGGGGAAAAUGCAAGGCAUACUGCCUCUACCUUAACAGAAACUCUAACAAGAAACCUUUUAAAGUUUCUAAACCCUAUAGAGCUCUGCAGAUAUGUCGGUAAUAUAGGGCAAUCUUUUCAGGCUGCUGUAGAGGUGAGGGAAUCCACUGCUUUGUUUCCCAGUCAGGAAGGAGUCCUUCCAGCACAAAUUUGUGAGGAGACAGAAAGCUUGCAAAUGCAGGCUGGUUUGUGUCGUACAGAAGAGGCAGAUAAAGACUGUCAUUGGGAACAGAAAAAGACUCGGGGCCUGUCUGAGCAAAAUCAGGUGCCAGAUGACAACGUCUCACCCAGGAAUCAAGUUGCCGGUCUUAAAAUCUCUAUCCAAAAUUGUGAUAGAGAAUGUAUGGAGCCUGAAAUAGCAAAGGAAGGCAUCCUCAUGACUUGCCAGAAUGCAGGAACCAUCCAUUCAGCUUCAGAAUGUACUGAAAAGCCAUUACAAGCAAAAAAUGGAAGUUUACAAACCUAUUCGCAACACCAUGCUCCUUGUGAUAAGAGAGAAAGUUGUCACCAACAAGUCUUCUGGGAACAAGGGAAGGAUAUUAGUAGUAAUGGCAAAAAAUCAAAGAAAGAUAUUUCACCUUUUCUUUUAUGGGACGGAGAUUCUGUUCCUGAUAAACAAGAAUGUUUAUGUGCUGUUCUCUCUUCUGCAAAGCUAUGUGAUGAGCCAAAAGAGGGAGGGCAAAGGUAUGUUUUUGAUUCGCAUGACGGCAAUGACAGAGAUACUCUCUGCGGUGUAUCAUGUGAGGAAUCUCUGUUUGAAGCUAAUCCCAAGUCAGUUCUGGAAUCUGGAGAACCUGGGUGCAAAGGAGAUGCCGAUUUAUCUACAGUGCAUGACAAGCUCUGGAAACUUCUUCAUGAAGAUGACUCAGACUAUCAAAUCCCAUUUGAAAACAGGGGAAUCACAAGUUUAGAGGUAAGGCUGACAAAUACCAAAGUCACAGAACUGAACUGUGUGCAAGGGACCUGUUCUGAUCACCCUUUGCCCCCAAAUUUCAUAGAACAGCAGGAACCUAUUACACAGCCACCUACUAGGCAAAGAACAGAGAAAGAAGACUGCAGUGUCUCUAAUGUCCUACUGAAAACAGAGGAAGCAUGUAACAGUGCAUCCAUAGAAAACUUUUCUCUUACACAAGUGGUAGAAGCAGAUGGUUUAUGUAUCAGUUCUAGCACUGGAAAUAAAACAGAAACGCCAUCCACUUGUAUUUCAGAAAAUAGUAUCUUAAAUACAGAGGAGUGCUUGGAGCAGAAGCCAAAUCAAACAUUAAUUGUCAAUAAUGGAGCCGUUCAAAAGACUGUUUCUCAGGAAGGUAAGCUUACCGUUAAUAAUACUUUCCAAACAUGUGAUAUAGAUUAUCAAAGAUUAAAAAAUGCCCAGAGUAGUAACUUAGCAUGUGAUAAAGAAAACCCAGUUUACAAGUCAGAUAAGUCACGUUGGACAACUGGACAAUUACCUCAUACUGAGCGGAACAUAUCCUUGAUAAAUGAGACUAUGACUGAGACCACAGAUGAAGAUGCUGGUAAAGACUGUCAUUUUAAAGACUGUUACCCAGCAAGAAAAAAAAUGGCAUAUUUCCCUGAGGAGAAAGUUAUUUUCCCCAGUAAUUCCUCUGUUGAAAACACCCAUCAGUUUACACGUGAAAAACACUCUUCUGUUAACACCAUACAUAGAAGUUAUGAAGAUAAUUUACAAGAAAAAAGAAAUCACUCAGAGCUGAAUGCACAAAACGGCACUAAUUGUAGCAGUUAUCAUCCUUCAAAAAAUUAUGACUGUCAAGAUUUUCAAGUUGUUUCUAAUACACAGAAAUACAGUUACCCAAUGAAAUUGCCUGAUUUAAUUAAGACUCCUGAAACCAUAGCAUGUAAGAAUCUACCCAAAAGUGUACACCAACUGACAGAAUUAGAAAAACAAGAAGUGGUAUCCACUCCCUCUUCUGAGAAUCCCCUGUUAACAGAUUUUUUUGUAAAGGUGCCCAAAUAUGAACCAAGUAAACCAGGAAAAGAACAGAGAGACAUUUUCAUAGGUGAUGAACAAAGGGCUGAAACAUCCUGUGACUCUGGAGUUAGGCAUGUUUCAGAGAGUCAGCCUGCAGUUUCCCUGCAUAACGUGUCUGAACAACAUUUAUUUUUUGCUGACAACACCUUUAAGCUUGACGAAGAGUUAAAAACAGACUCUUUGAAAAGUCACACGUAUGCCUCUGGGAAUGUAACGUCAUUAUCAGUUAGUACCCCACUGCCUAGAAAGGUUCAGAAUGAGUACUGCACAGUAGCAAAGGAAGAUUGUAGAGACAUUGGUAAUCAGAUGGAUCUCCAGAAACAGACCGUAAGAGAAGCAUCACCAUUCAUAUCUGUAAGCCAGUCAGAGGGCUCUCCUAACAGUGUAGCAGCAAAGGGGCGUUCUGGCACAGGAAGUCGUGUACAAACAGAAUGCACACAAACUGCUGUCAAAGGAGAUGAAAAAUUGACCAAGUUGGGAGCUUCCUGCGAAGCAUUGCAGGAUCACAUCCAUAGGGUACCUGAAGAAAAUAAGGAGGAAGUAAUCUUGCGUGGAAAUAAACAAGAGAUUCAAAGAACUACUGAAUACAACCUAGAUGCUGCUGAAAUGAAGUCUCCUUUGCACGCUUUAAUUAUCUCCAGGGCUCAGAGGCAGAUUAGGAAUAGUAUCACUAAGCAGUCCUCUCCGGACUUGAUCACUUCCAGCAAGCCAGCUGAGGUCGAUUGUUCAGUUAAGUCUACUGAGCAUAAUAAAGACGAAGUCAUGACUUCAGAGACUGCAGUAAGUGCUUUAGUUAACUUGCCAGCAGUUGAUUCAGGGGAUGUCUCUCUUCAAAUGCAGCCAGCAUACAGCAGGACUCAGCCACACUCCUUAGCAUUGACCACAUAUGAUCCGUUCUCAGUCAGUGUGGAAAGGCCAGAAAAUCAAGAAGGGUCUAAGUCCUGCCAGACAUCACCAACUGUUGCUGAGUCUGAGCCCAUCAAGUGUAAACACACAGCAAAGAGUGAGAAUUUAGCUACUGGAGCAAAGAAGAAAUUACCACCAGCAACACUGUCAAAGAAACCCCGACUGGAGGAGAGAGGAAAUGUCAGCAAGGAUCCUAGCUGUUUUAAAAGUGAGGCAAGCAUGAUUCAUAAAGAAAACAGAAAAGAGCAAAGGAAACUGAUUUCGAAAAAGGAUAGCAAAGCUCCCAAGCUGCUGAAGAAAAUCCAAGCAGAGUUGUUCCCUGACUGCUCUGGAAAUGUUAAGCUGUGCUGCCAGUUUGGAGACAUUCAUGGGGACUCCACCAUUACAUGGACUAAAGACUCCAAGUUACUAGCUCAACUGCGGAGAAAUGCCCAGGAUGACUCUCCUGUCUCUUUGGCGAUAGCUAAAGCCAGUAACAAAGACCAAGGAAUGUAUUAUUGCUGCUUGAAUAAUAUAUAUGGAAAGGUAACUGCGGAGUUUAAUCUGACUUCUGAAGUCUUGGAACAUCUUUCAAGUUUUCAGAAUUUUGAAGGUGUGGAAGAAAUUGAAUUCAUGCAGCUCAUGUUCAGAGAAGAUUUCAUCAGUGACAGUUAUUUUGGUGGGAACCUGCACGGAAUAAUAGCUACAGAAGAAUUUCACUUUGGUGAGGGCAUGCAUCGGAAAGCUUUCCGAAGUAAAGUGAUGCAAGGCCUGGUGCCAGUGUUCAGCCCUGGCCAUCCCUGCGUUCUCAAAGUGCACAAUGCUAUCACAUAUGGGACCAAGAGUAAGGAUGAUCUAGUUCAAAAGAACUACAAACUAGCACUGCAGGAAUGCUAUGUCCAAAAUACAGCAAGAGAGUAUGCAAAGAUAUAUGCAGCUGAAGCUGAACCUUUGGAAGGCUUUGGAGAAGUACCAGAGAUCAUUCCUAUUUUUCUUGUUCAUCGCCCUGCUAAUAACAUCCCCUAUGCAACAGUGGAGGAAGAGCUGAUAGGGGAAUUUGUGAAAUACUCUGUCAGGGAUGGCAAGGAAGUCAAUUUCCUGAGGAGAGACUCAGAGGCUGGCCAGAAGUGCUGCACCUUCCAGCACUGGGUGUAUGAGAAAACCAAUGGGAACUUGCUUGUCACUGACCUGCAAGGUGUAGGAAUGAAGUUAACUGAUGUUGGCAUAGCAACACUGGCCAAAGGGCUUUACCCCCCACUCUCACUCCUGAGAGGGAAAAUAGCGUGGGUGGGACGCUCGGAGGCAGCGGAACCUUCCGGAAAGCGCCCUCCCGGCACAGGGCCUGCGGUUGGAGGGAGCUCAGCAGCUGCGGUCUGCAGGGAGGAGAUGCACGUUUUCGCCCUAUGUUUUCUGCUCCCUUUGGAGCCAUCUCACUGCAGCUGUCUUCGGCCUGCUAGGACCUGCUUGCAGAGGACGUGGAAGGUUCCUUCAAAUGCUACUUCAGGAGCUCUGGAAGGAUUGCUAGGUGGCUAGAGUGUCAGAAGAUAAAAGCUCAAAUCCUGCUCAGGACCUCAGAAAGAGCGUAGCCUUUUUAGCCAAAGUAUUAACAAGCUGAAGUUUCUGGACUGAGGCCGGUUAUUGUCAGCGGUGGACUGUACUUGCCAGUGGAAGCUGUGAAGCAGGUAAGGCCACCACUGUUGGCAACAAGGUGAAGUUUUGUUUUUUUGCAUGUGGUAUCAACUGGUCUCAUAAAGCAUUAGAUGGGUUCUUGGGGAAAAAUCCUAUGCGUAGUAUGUGGACUAAACUUGGAAAACUGAAGAUCAUCAAAUUACUGAA
Oxyura jamaicensis (ruddy duck) is the source of this 6958-nucleotide RNA transcript. It is a transcript of the gene named alpha kinase 2, with no coding region annotated. Lineage: Eukaryota; Metazoa; Chordata; Aves; Anseriformes; Anatidae. The transcript is spliced from 14 exons. The record is from RefSeq and is a predicted model, not a curated record.